Long non-coding RNA from Parus major (Great Tit), 653 nucleotides. RefSeq lists it as uncharacterized. The transcript is spliced from 2 exons. The record is from RefSeq and is a predicted model, not a curated record. NCBI's taxonomy places the organism in Eukaryota, Metazoa, Chordata, Aves, Passeriformes, Paridae.
AGCACAUGUGCCUGGGGACCCUCCCGCCUGCAGCACUGCUACCAGCUCCCCUUCCUCACUCCUGCACAGGUGCUUAUCUGGGACAGCUGGAGCCUUUCUGGGGGAAUGGUCACCUCCAGCUCUUCCUUUCAAGAUUGCCUUUGGGUGUGCCUGAGUGCCAUGAUCAGCAAGGUCUCCACAUAGCCUUUUGAAGCCACCAAGGUGCAAACCAGCUAAUGAUUAAACCUGCUUUCUCAGUUUUACUGCAGGAGAAAUGCUUCUGUGGCAAAGCACCGAGGAGAGUACAAUACUCCUUUCACAUCAAAAGAAUAUGCAGACACCCAAGUAAAAAAAAAAAAACAAAACAACAGUGUGACUGAAAAAUACAAAGGAAAUGGAGCAGACAGUCAAGAAGGAACAAAGACAGCAAGAGGGAAAAGAAAAUCCAAAGCAAGUAAUUGGCAGGGUUAGAAUUCGUUAUUUCUAUUAAUUCCAAAGUUCUUGCUUCCUUCUGCCAGCCUCAUUUGAUUGUUGGGCAACAGGGACAAUUUCUUUGGGUUUUCCUUUAGUUAAAAUGAUUUGUUUAUAAGACAUAUUUUUUGUAAUAAACGUAAGUAUCACUUUGUAAAAACAUUCUUCUUCAGGAAGUAAUAAAGCACUUGCUCAGUUUAAAA